AACGAACGCUGGCGGCAGGCUUAACACAUGCAAGUCGAACGCCCCGCAAGGGGAGUGGCAGACGGGUGCGUAACGCGUGGGAAUCUACCCAUCCCUACGGAAUAACGCAUGGAAACGUGUGCUAAUACCGUAUACGCCCUACGGGGGAAAGAUUUAUCGGGGAUGGAUGAGCCCGCGUUGGAUUAGCUAGUUGGUGGGGUAAAGGCCUACCAAGGCGACGAUCCAUAGCUGGUCCGAGAGGAUGAUCAGCCACAUUGGGACUGAGACACGGCCCAAACUCCUACGGGAGGCAGCAGUGGGGAAUAUUGGACAAUGGGCGCAAGCCUGAUCCAGCCAUGCCGCGUGAGUGAUGAAGGCCUUAGGGUUGUAAAGCUCUUUCACCGGAGAAGAUAAUGACGGUAUCCGGAGAAGAAGCCCCGGCUAACUUCGUG
This 431-nucleotide ribosomal RNA is filed under the name uncultured bacterium. RNAcentral's name for it is "partial 16S ribosomal RNA". It matches the Rfam family "Bacterial small subunit ribosomal RNA", at positions 29 to 507 of the family's 1533-position model. The record is from RNAcentral.